Molecule: ribosomal RNA, 253 nt
Filed under: uncultured bacterium
Lineage: Bacteria
Description: partial 16S ribosomal RNA
Rfam family: Bacterial small subunit ribosomal RNA
Source: RNAcentral
UACAUGGGGUGCAAACGUUGCUCGGAAUCAUUGGGCGUAAAGCGCGCGUAGGCGGUUACUUAUGUCGGAUGUGAAAGCCCUCGGCUUAACUGAGGAAGUGCACCCGAAACUGAGUAGCUAGAGUACGAAAGAGGGUCGCGGAAUUCCCGGUGUAGAGGUGAAAUUCGUAGAUAUCGGGAGGAACACCGGUGGCGAAGGCGGCGACCUGGGUCGAGACUGACGCUGAGGCGCGAAAGCGUGGGGAGCAAACAGG